UAAUCACAAGGGAUAAAGUUGUCAUUGGUUAUGCAAUCUAAAACUGCUCUUUUUGUUUCCUUUCAGUCACUGUGGAAGUGGAGCACAAAGCAGUCACUUUGGUUUCUUCAUCAGCAUUUUGAAAUGCCUGAUUGAACUGAAGAGAUAUGGGACACUGACUUUUAUCUACGUGCUAACAGACAUGGCUGUGCUGUGCAGCAAAAGUUCUUCAAAGGGGAUUGUGACAGCACUGGCCAGCACCAACCCAAAUACUGCAGAUGGAGUGACGUAGAGUCCUGGUGAGAAAGGAGGGAAGAGCACCCAGAUGUCCACAGCCAGCAAUCCUGGCUCUUGAGAUUACAGCUGAUGCAUCAGGGCAUCCAAGGAAGACUGGUGAAUUAGAGGAAGAUCAGAAAUUUUUGAAAGUUUUGAUCUUGGUUAUCAUUUACAUAGCAGAGGUGAAAACAACAACAACAAAAGGACAAGAGCAGCAAGAUUUAACUGAAAUUGAUCCCAAAGACAAGUCAUAAAGAAAAGGAAGGUGAAUUGCUGAGAAUAGAUGGUGAGGCACUGUAGCAGUGAGCCUUUCACAAAGAAUGUGAGAGAUGCUAAUCAAUACAGCCUUUCUGACAAAAACUUUUUGAAAAAUGGCUUGUGUGAUCUUCUGGUCUGUGAUGCUCAGAUUGGUUGGUGUGAUCAUAUAUGCCAGCAUGCCGUUAGUCCAUAUGGAGCAGCUAUCAUGGUUACAGCUAGAUGGUAUUUAGAAAGAAUUUAAAGUAAAUCUUUUACUUCCCCUGGAAUUACUGAAGAAGCGUUAAAUUACUUUUCAAGAAAUUCAAUGUGGGUAGGUUGUUUCAUUUUUCUGAAUGUGUGGGGCUGUUUCUGCUUGGAAUGCAGCAUCUCUUUUAAGCUAACAUAUUCAAUUU
This 905-nucleotide long non-coding RNA is filed under the name Phasianus colchicus (ring-necked pheasant). RNAcentral describes it as "lncRNA (ENSPCLG00000003341.1)". Lineage: Eukaryota; Metazoa; Chordata; Aves; Galliformes; Phasianidae. The record is from RNAcentral.